This 348-nucleotide ribosomal RNA is filed under the name Triticum aestivum (bread wheat). RNAcentral's name for it is "partial small subunit ribosomal RNA". Lineage: Eukaryota; Viridiplantae; Streptophyta; Magnoliopsida; Poales; Poaceae. The record is from RNAcentral.
AUGCCAAUGAUGGUCUGGAUCUGGCUGGUGAUGGUGUGGAUGAAGGCCCGCUCUGGGUCGCGCUCUAACUCCGCGUACUCGUCCGUCCCGGGCUCCGGCAUGCGGCGCCGGCUCACCGUCGGCCGGUUCGGGAGGAACCCCGCGUAUGGGUACUGCCCGAAGUUGACCGCCGCGUGCAGCGCCGAUCCGAUCCAGAUGAUGGUGGUGCACGCCUUGGCCAGCUCGCCCACGGCUUGCAUCCUCGGCCACCAUGGCGCGUCCUUGAGGUCGCCGUGCCCAACCUCGCGCGCCUCCUUCCACCACGCCUGCAGCUCCACGUCGCCCUGCACCACGCCGUCGUCCGGGUAG